AAGACCUUGCGCUUUUGGAGCGGCCGAMGCCUGAUUAGCUUGUUGGUAAGGUAAAAGCUUACCAAGGCUUCGAUCAGUAGCUGGUCUGAGAGGACGGCCAGCCACACUGGGACUGAGACACGGCCCAGACUCCUACGGGAGGCAGCAGUGGGGAAUUUUGGACAAUGGGGGCAACCCUGAUCCAGCCAUGCCGCGUGAGUGGAGAAGGCCUUCGGGUUGUAAAGCUCUUUCAGCCGGAACGAAACGGUUACGGUUAAUACCCGUGAUUACUGACGGUACCGGAAGAAGAAGCACCGGCUAACUACGUGCCAGCAGCCGCGGUAAUACGUAGGGUGCGAGCGUUAAUCGGAAUUACUGGGCGUAAAGCGUGCGCAGGUGGUUUUGUAAGUCAGAUGUGAAAGCCCCGGGCUCAACCUGGGAACU
This 423-nucleotide ribosomal RNA is filed under the name uncultured bacterium. Its description in RNAcentral is "bacterial SSU rRNA". It matches the Rfam family "Bacterial small subunit ribosomal RNA", at positions 207 to 622 of the family's 1533-position model. The record is from RNAcentral.